GGAGCCUAGACGACAAGCUGUGUGUGCUGCAGGGGGUGGAGCUGGAGAAGUGGCCCAAACCCCUUGGAGAAGCCCAGAAGAUCGAGGCCACAGUUGAACAACUUUGAACUUUUGAAGAGAUUUUUAGAUUUUAAAAGAGACUUUGUUUGUUUUUGUUUUUAAAGAUUGAAUUUUAAAGUGUUUGAAUUUAUAAAGAUGUUCUAAGUCUGUAAAAUGUUUUAUAUUAGGAUGUUUAUAUUAAUGUGUGAUCUUUGGGAUAAACAACAAAGGAAAGGUUGUAGCUUAAGAGUGAUAUGUUUGUGUGCCAAGUUGACAAGAAGUCAGUUGUGCUGGCUAAUUUUAUGUCAACUUCACACAAGCUAGUGUAAGUCAAAAUAGCCCCUUUCCUUCCCACAUUGCUUUUGGUCCUGGUGUUUCAUCACAGCAAAAUUAACCCUAACAAGGACAUUCUAAUUGCAUAUUUAUCCUUCUAAAAAAUUAUAAUGAAUUUCAGAGUUCACCUUUCUGACUUAGAGUUACUAAGUUAUCAACUCAGAAAACUCCCAGAAAAUUGGACUUACCGGAUUAACAUUGAUUUUGAUCUAAUGGGGUUUUCAUGAUAUUUGAUAAAUUUGUAUGUUCCAAAGAAUCUAUAGGUCCCCUAAGGAAUAUCCCUAAGCUCACUGAAAAGUGUGCUAAAGUUUAGUUCCCAGAACCCUGUGGACAGGGACAUGGGCACUAGGAGUUCCAUAGUAUCAAAUUGUGCAGAGUGCAGACUUACAACAAGGACUCCCUGUGAGCUGAAAUUCAUGCCCAUGGCCUCUUCAAAAAGCAGGAACAAAAAAGAACUUGUGACCAGCUCUAGAAUUAAAAAAAAAGAGGGUGUGGGGGGGGGCUUUUUCAGGCCCUUCCAGGACAGAGAAGUCGGGUUCCUUCCCCUGACCUCCAUGGGGAUUGGCCAAGAGUUCUGAGAAGAUGAUUUUGCAACUAAGAAAUCACAAGGCUGGAGUGAAAUGAAAACAAGCAAGGUCCUUUAUCAGCUAAGGACCAUCGGUUCUACUCUGUAGAAAUUCAGACAUAGGAAAAUCAAGGGCGAAAGCAGAAAAAUGUUGCAACAUAGGAAAGGCUCCCUUUGCAUGAUGUGCCUGCUACCAGCUAUGACAGAUGACAGUCACGGGAGCCACCACCAAAGGGUCCAUGUAUGCUAUCUCACUUUGCAUUAAAUAAUACCCACCUCUACAAAGAAAGGCAAGUAUAUCAUCCCUGUGCUGGGUGAUAAGUCCAAGUUCUCAGGUCACAAGACCUUGCAUCUGUUUGCAAUGUACAUGGGAUUUUUAUGAUACCUGUUGAUAAUAAUUUUAUUCAAAUAUGCUUAUUCUCAUGGUCAUAUCAGAAGACUUCUUCAAGAAUAAGGAUAUUUGAAACAUAUAGGCUUAAAUCAUAUUUUUAAAUAUUAUUUUUCAGCCGGGUGUAUAUAUAUAUAUAUAUAUAUAUAUAUAUAUAUAUAUAUAU
This 1491-nucleotide long non-coding RNA is filed under the name Mus pahari (shrew mouse). RNAcentral describes it as "lncRNA (MGP_PahariEiJ_G0006385.1)". The record is from RNAcentral. Lineage: Eukaryota; Metazoa; Chordata; Mammalia; Rodentia; Muridae.